Molecule: long non-coding RNA, 1209 nt
Filed under: Felis catus (domestic cat)
Lineage: Eukaryota; Metazoa; Chordata; Mammalia; Carnivora; Felidae
Description: lncRNA (ENSFCAG00000046747.2)
Source: RNAcentral
UGGUUCUGUCACAGUAGAUCUUCACGGAUCAUCCGAUCCUGGAACACUGAGAUUAAGAAAUGGUCAAACUCCAGUUCUCAAAAUCUAGACUUUGUGAUCUGUUUUCAGGAGAAACUGUGCAUGACUCAGGAAUUAAUCUGCAGAAGUAGAUGAUGAAGUUGUUCCCAGUCUGAGAAUAAAUCUACACAGGAAAUGGAAAACUGAGCCAGCUUGGAGUGAAUGCGGAGACAUGCGUUGCUACAAAAUAUUAAAAACAGUGCGUGCGUCCAUUUGGGCUCUUGGUUUCAAACCUGCCUGAAGAGCUGGGACGGCAUAUGCUUCAGAACAAAGCGUGUUUCUCUUCUUGUCAGAGCACCGGGAGCAUUCCAGGGUGAACAAUCAAACCAACAUUUCUAAACUGAUCUAAACCUACCUGUGACACAGCCCCAGAUGGGGAACCCGAAGGAGGCCAGGAGACCUGCUCCUGUCACUAACACACUGGGGUUGAGUCCAAGUGGAGCUCCUUCUCCCAGCCCGUGGUGCCUCUCCUGCCCUCAACCCCCACAUCCUCCCUUCCAGACCCUUGAGCAAAAGCUGCAGGUUGGAUUCCCGUGCGGUACAGCUCUGACAGGGGACAAUGCCUGGACACCUUUGGGGAAGAGUCUGGCAUCAGUGACUGACAGUGCCAGGUGGCAGCCACGGCAGGAACUGGUGUCAGUGGUAGAGGAGCCAGGGAUGGGCUCCACCAACCAUACCCGCUGGUGACCUUGACUCUUUUCUUUUGCCCACUUUCCCUAAUGCCUGCUCAUUCUCUGACCCUGGUUCUUUCACCUUCCUGUUAAUUCUGUGAGCAUCUCAAUAGCCUCCAAUAAUUGCUUUUCUGCCGAUGUCAGCCAGGGUUGGUUCCUAUCGCCUGUCACAAAGAACCAUAACAUUCCUUUAAUUAAGCCUAAUGAUAAUCCUGUGAGUAAGGUCCUGUGAUUAUUAUCUCCAGUUUAUAGAUGAGGAAUGAAGCUCAGGGAAGUCAAGUAACUUGACCAAGGUCACACACAGCUUUUAAAUAACAGAACUCAAACGCUCUUCCUACUACACCAAGCUUCCUCUCACAAACCAUGGCCACUUCUGUAUAUCCAGUACUUACCCUUGGUCUAGGGCUCCAUUAGGCUGGCAUUACCCUAGAAACAUUAUUUGGGGUAUAAAAUUUUUUUAAUAAAAUAAAUAACUUUUCCA